RNAcentral lists this ribosomal RNA (269 nucleotides) under uncultured prokaryote. Its description in RNAcentral is "partial 16S ribosomal RNA". It matches the Rfam family "Bacterial small subunit ribosomal RNA", at positions 524 to 792 of the family's 1533-position model. The record is from RNAcentral.
CACGUAGGAGGCAAACGUUAUCCGGAUUUACUGGGCGUAAAGCGCGUGUAGGUGGUUCUGUAAGUAGGGCGUGAAAGCUCCCGGCUCAACUGGGAGAGGCCGUUCUAAACUGCAGAGCUAGAGGAUGGUAGAGGGAGGUGGAAUUCCAGGUGUAGCGGUGGAAUGCGCAGAUAUCUGGAGGAACACCAGUGGCGAAGGCGGCCUCCUGGACCAUUCCUGACACUCAGGCACGAAAGCGUGGGGAGCAAACAGGAUUAGAUACCCCUGUA